Long non-coding RNA from Orcinus orca (killer whale), 390 nucleotides. RefSeq lists it as uncharacterized. The record is from RefSeq and is a predicted model, not a curated record. The transcript is spliced from 3 exons. NCBI's taxonomy places the organism in Eukaryota, Metazoa, Chordata, Mammalia, Artiodactyla, Delphinidae.
GGGGUGGCCCCCGGCAUUUGCGGGCGACUGGAGCGAACAGGCGGGUCUGUGGUACUCGCCGUCGGCGCCCAGUGCUGCGGACGCCGGGUACGGCUGCUGACUGGCAUUAUAACCGAACCCGUUGGCUGCCUGGACUGAUAUUUGCCAAAAGAACCAUGACGCAGGGUGACUUCCCGUCCAGGCCCUUCUUGGACCUUCCAGCACCCAAGAGAGGCAGGUCCCAGCAGGCCACUCCCACCUCUUUGCCCCUGUUACAGAAGGUCUCCAGACCCUCCUGCCUUGGACUUUCUGAGGUCCUGUUAUUCAGGGCAACUAUCAAAUUCUACCUGUUAAAACAUGAUGGAUUAGAGAAAAAAAAAACCCAUCAGGAACCUGAAAAACCAGCGUCAU